This is an RNA transcript of Ipomoea nil (Japanese morning glory), 2699 nucleotides long. It is a transcript of the gene named SUMO-activating enzyme subunit 2-like, with no coding region annotated. The transcript is spliced from 13 exons. The record is from RefSeq and is a predicted model, not a curated record. NCBI's taxonomy places the organism in Eukaryota, Viridiplantae, Streptophyta, Magnoliopsida, Solanales, Convolvulaceae.
UGACGGUGCACCCUCCAAAAGUCGCAAAAAGCAACCGCUCCGUGCCCCCAUGGCUUAGUGAGGAAGAAAGUCUUUUUGGCUCCAUUUCCUCCUGGAAACAUUCUCUUUGAAACCGGAUUGACUCCGUGCAUCGUUCUGCGCAAUACAAUACACGCGUUAUAGCAUUUUCACAUAGCAACACACUUGCAACUCUCUUCUUCCGGUCUCCAAUGGCUUCCGAGGAACAGUUAUCUGCAAUCAAGCGCGCGAAAGUGCUCAUGGUUGGUGCCGGUGGUAUUGGCUGCGAGCUUCUGAAAACCCUCGCGCUUUCCGACUUCCAAGACGUACACAUUAUUGACAUGGACACAAUAGAAGUGAGUAAUUUAAACAGACAGUUUCUAUUUCGACAAUCUCAUGUUGGGCAAUCUAAGUCCAAAGUUGCUAGGGAUGCCGUCUUGAAAUUUAGGCCUGGAAUGAAAAUUACACCUUACCACGCAAAUGUUAAAGACACUGACUUCAAUGUGGAUUUCUUUAAACAAUUCAAUGUUGUUCUUAAUGGCCUUGACAAUCUAGAUGCUAGGCGACAUGUGAACCGACUUUGCUUGGCAGCCAAUGUUCCAUUGGUCGAAAGUGGGACUACUGGUUUCUUGGGACAGGUUACUGUGCAUGUGAAGGGCAAAACAGAGUGUUACGAGUGCCAACCUAAACCAGCUCCAAAAAUUUACCCUGUAUGCACAAUUACAAGCACUCCAUCCAAGUUUGUUCACUGCAUUGUAUGGGCAAAAGAUCUGCUUUUUGCAAAGCUUUUUGGGGACAAGAAUCAGGAAAAUGAUCUGAAUGUGCACUCUAGUGAUUCUUGUAGCUCAUCAGAACAUUUGGAAGAUAUUUUUGAAUGCAGACCAAAUGAGGACGUUGAACAAUAUGGGAAGAGAAUAUAUGACCAUGUUUUUGGCUACAACAUUAAGGUAGCAUUGUCAAAUGAAGAAGCAUGGAAGAAUCGUAACAAACCAAGGCCUACAUACAUUAGAGAUGUAUUGCCAUCUGAAGAGAUUCAACAUAAUGGAAAUGGAGAUAGAGGUUCAAAAGAUGGUGAUCCUUCAUCAGUGUCUGCAAUGGCAUCUCUGGGUCUUAAAAAUCCACAGGAGUUAUGGAGCUUGAAAGAAAACACUACAGUAUUUUUGGAGUGUCUAAAGCUCUUUUUCUUGAAAAGACCAAAGGAGAUUGGCAACUUGAGUUUUGAAAAAGAUGAUCAGUUAGCUGUGGAAUUUGUAACUGCUGCUGCUAAUAUUCGGGCAUCUUCCUUUGGUAUUCCCUUGCAUAACCUUUUUGAAGCGAAAGGUAUUGCUGGAAAUAUUGUGCAUGCUGUUGCGACAACAAAUGCUAUAAUUGCUGGGUUGAUUGUGAUUGAGGCUAUUAAGGUGCUGCAAAAUGAUCUGAAAAACUGCAGGAUGACCUAUUGUCUUGAACAUCCUUCCAGAAAAAUGAUGCUUAUGCCAGUUGAUCCAUUUGAACCAAACAAAUCCUGCUAUGUCUGUUCUGAGACACCUUUUACACUUGAGAUCAAUACUCAUAGGUCAAAGCUGAGGGAUUUUGUUGAGAAGAUAGUGAAAGCAAAGCUAGGUAUGAAUUUUCCACUGGUUAUGCAUGGAGCAGCACUUCUCUAUGAGGUGGGUGAUGAUCUUGAGGAAGAUAUGGUAGUGAAUUACACAGCAAACCUUGACAAGGUACUAUGUGAGCUUCCAUCUCCUGUUACUGGGGGCACCACUGUCACUGUUGAGGAUCUCCGACAGGAGCUAACUUGUAAUAUCUAUAUUAAGCAUAGGGAAGAGUUUGAUGACGAGAAAGAACCUGAUGAAAUGGUUCUCUCUGGAUGGACUCGAGCUCCUGCGACUGAAACUAUAAACAAGGAAGUUCACAAUGGUACAAGCACAUCUAUAGCAUCUCAAACUGCUGCUACUCAGGAGACCAAUGAGGAUGAUGAUUCUGUACUUCUGCCAACGAGCAUUGAACUUCCUCUUGGAAAUGAAAGAAAGUUAUCUGACAGUACUGUUGCUACUGGUUCGGAUUUAUCGUAUGUCCCCAAUGAAACAAAGGUGCUGGACUGUCAAAUUUUGACAAGAUUUGAUACCUCCAGUAAUCAAACUUUUGCUUAUCAUCAGACAUUGGAAGAACAGCAGUAACAUAAAUUGUGACUUGGAAGAUAUAGCUGUGCUUCUGUACCUUGAAAACGUAAGGAUCUCUACUGAUCUAAAGGAUGCUGACGUGUGAAUUAGGAUGCCUUCAUAAUUCCUUUUUCCAGAAUUAUGUAGUAAAUGUAACCAAUUAAGGUGAAAAGCAAUGCAACAGCGGCAACAGAAAAGGCUGCACAGAGAGCAAGGAGUCAAAACUGAAGGAUGUAAAAUUGGAUGUUGCGGGAAAUUACAAGAUGCUGCUGCUAAUAGGAUGCUGGGCUCACGCCAUCGAAUUGGGAAAUUCAUGGCUAGUGAUGCUCAUUAGGCGGACAAUGAAAGGUGAACAUGUCAAAUUCUAACUAGCAUGGAAAGAGAACUAGUAGUUAAUACUAAUAUAUCAUUGUUGGGUUAUUACUUGGUUUUGCCAUCGUGUGAAUCCGCAUUACCAAGAACUUUGUGUGCAACCAUUAAUGUGGUUUGCACGAUCAGCACUAAAUCAUUUACAGAACUACCAAGAAUAUCAUUUGUAAGCAUAAAAUUUUUCAUGAU